CCUACGGGGCGCAGCAGUGAGGAAUAUUGGUCAAUGGACGAGAGCCUGAACCAGCCAUGUCGCGUGAAGGAUGACGGCCCUACGGGUUGUAAACUUCUUUUGUAAGGGAGCAAUUGGGUCCACGCGUGGGCUUCGCGAAAGUACCUGAAGAAAAAGCAUCGGCUAAAUCGGUGCCGGCAGCCGCGGUAUUAGGAGGGAUGCGAGGGUUAUCCGAUUUUAUUGGGUUAAAAGGUUGCGAGGGCGGAAGAUCAAGUCAGCGGUAAAUAUUGGGGGUUAAACCCGGUCGUGCCGUUGAUACUGAUGGUCUUGAGUGGACUAGAGGUAGGCGGAAUGCGUGGUGUAGCGGUGAAAUGCUUAGAGAUCACGCAGAACACCGAUUGCGAAGGCAGCAUACCGGCGUCCAACUGACGCUGAAGCACGAAAGCGUGGGUAUCGAACAGGAUUAGAUACCCCUGUAGUC
RNAcentral lists this ribosomal RNA (460 nucleotides) under uncultured bacterium. Its description in RNAcentral is "partial 16S ribosomal RNA". It matches the Rfam family "Bacterial small subunit ribosomal RNA", at positions 338 to 795 of the family's 1533-position model. The record is from RNAcentral.